RNAcentral lists this ribosomal RNA (402 nucleotides) under uncultured Caulobacteraceae bacterium. RNAcentral describes it as "bacterial SSU rRNA". It matches the Rfam family "Bacterial small subunit ribosomal RNA", at positions 353 to 772 of the family's 1533-position model. The record is from RNAcentral. Lineage: Bacteria; Pseudomonadati; Pseudomonadota; Alphaproteobacteria; Caulobacterales; Caulobacteraceae.
AGUGGGGAAUCUUGCGCAAUGGGGGCAACCCUGACGCAGCCAUGCCGCGUGAAUGAUGAAGGUCUUAGGAUUGUAAAAUUCUUUCAGCGGGGACGAUAAUGACGGUACCCGCAGAAGAAGCUCCGGCUAACUUCGUGCCAGCAGCCGCGGUAAUACGAAGGGGGCUAGCGUUGCUCGGAAUUACUGGGCGUAAAGGGCGCGUAGGCGGAUAGUUAAGUCAGAGGUGAAAGCCCAGGGCUCAACCCUGGAAUUGCCUUUGAUACUGGCUAUCUUGAGUAUGGGAGAGGUGAGUGGAACUCCGAGUGUAGAGGUGAAAUUCGUAGAUAUUCGGAAGAACACCAGUGGCGAAGGCGACUCACUGGCCCAUUACUGACGCUGAGGCGCGAAAGCGUGGGGAGCAAA